RNAcentral lists this transfer RNA (105 nucleotides) under Cenarchaeum symbiosum A. RNAcentral's name for it is "tRNA-Gln". The record is from RNAcentral. Lineage: Archaea; Thermoproteati; Nitrososphaerota; Candidatus Cenarchaeales; Candidatus Cenarchaeaceae.
AGCCCGAUAGUCUAGUCUGGCCAAACCUUACGGGGCCAAGGAUUCCGCGCUCUGGAUCUAGCGAGUAGACACGCGGAGACGGCAGUUCGAAUCUGCCUCGGGCUA